UUGGCAAUGCACAAGUCAUGUCUUCUCUGACUGUUCAUGACGUUAAAAUACUAAAUCCCUGGGAUGGGUUUUAGUUGAUUUUAGUCUCUGAUGCAUGAUUUUUUUAUUAUUAAUUGUUUUUGACUUUUAACUAGCUGUCAGUAACUGCGAGUACUCUCAAAUCGUAUUUUCGUGUUAAUUCGACCUGUUAAUACUGUUUAUAAUGCUUUUUUGUUAUUUUAUAUUAAUAUAGAUCUUGUCUAUAUACCAGCUUUGAUUAUUUGGAAUAUCUUCUAAUUUUCAC
RNAcentral lists this long non-coding RNA (283 nucleotides) under Mytilus galloprovincialis (Mediterranean mussel). Lineage: Eukaryota; Metazoa; Mollusca; Bivalvia; Mytilida; Mytilidae. The record is from RNAcentral.